RNAcentral lists this ribosomal RNA (23 nucleotides) under Trichosporon asahii. Lineage: Eukaryota; Fungi; Basidiomycota; Tremellomycetes; Trichosporonales; Trichosporonaceae. The record is from RNAcentral.
GUCCGAUCUGCGAAGUCAAGCUA